AUUGAACGCUGGCGGCAGGCUUAACACAUGCAAGUCGAGCGGGGUGAUGAUGCUUGCACUAUCACUUAGCGGCGGACGGGUGAGUAAUGCUUAGGAAUCUGCCUAUUAGUGGGGGACAACAUCUCGACAGGGAUGCUAAUACCGCAUACGUCCUACGGGAGAAAGCAGGGGAUCACUUGUGACCUUGCGCUAAUAGAUGAGCCUAAGUCGGGUUAGCUAGUUGGUGGGGUAAAGGCCUACCAAGGCGACGAGCUGUAGCGGGUCUGAGAGGAUGAUCCGCCACACUGGGACUGAGACACGGCCCAGACUCCUACGGGAGGCAGCAGUGGGGAAUAUUGGACAAGGGGGGGAACCCUGAUCCAGCCAUGCCGCGUGUGUGAAGAAGGCCCUAUGGUUGUAAAGCACUUUAAGCGAGGAGGAGGCUCUUUUGGUUAAUACCCAAGAUGAGUGGACGUUACUCGCAGAAUAAGCACCGGCUAACUCUGUGCCAGCCGCCGCAGUAA
This 503-nucleotide ribosomal RNA is filed under the name uncultured bacterium. RNAcentral describes it as "partial 16S ribosomal RNA". It matches the Rfam family "Bacterial small subunit ribosomal RNA", at positions 30 to 523 of the family's 1533-position model. The record is from RNAcentral.